Long non-coding RNA from Oreochromis niloticus (Nile tilapia), 2054 nucleotides. Lineage: Eukaryota; Metazoa; Chordata; Actinopteri; Cichliformes; Cichlidae. The record is from Ensembl.
GGAACUUCUUGAAGAGGAGCCAUGACUUUCAUUCUUGGUUUCUUUCAGUUUUGAUUUGGUAACGUAACUUUUAUGCAACUAAUAUGUAAAUGUGAAUUUCUGAAAAAAUUGUGGUGAGAUUGUGGCUACUGUGCUGUUGCUUAGCAGGGUUGGGCUUAAAAUGUGCCGUUUUUUAAGGGGCAUUUGUGUUAUCGCAUAGCCUUUGCCAAGACCUUUUUAUUUUUGUAAUCUUAGAGAGGAAAUUUAAAUCCACCAAUGAGAGCCAUCAAUUUCAGGUGAGUCAUCAGUUAACCAGCAGUCACAUGUAACUGCAUUCUCUGACGUGCGUAACCAAAGCUUCAUUUUUUCUGUUGCACUGUUACUGUUCCUUUAAGGGACGUGUUUGAGUGUUCGUGCUGAGAGGGGGAGAGUGUUGACGGAGCUGGAGCGAAAAAUGCGGCAUUAGCUGUCCUGUUACACACCAAUAAACCGCUGGUGAAAGAAGAACGUCUGGUGCUUGGGAGUCUACACAAACGUUUCAACAUAUUUGUGUACAGAAAGUGUUCAGCAUCGCAAGUUUAUUUUUUAGCUGUCAGGAGAAAUACUGAGGUUUCAGUUUCACAAAGUCCACGCCUCCAACUACAAGUAGGACUGAACAACUGUUCUUCGUGAUCUUUGGAGUUGUGUUAAGAUGGGUGCAAUAUUCAAUCUACUUGAGCAGCACAGACUGGAAUCAUACUACAACCAGUUUGUUCAGAUGGGUGUUAAAGAUGAAAGAGAUUUCCUGGACAGUGUGACAGAAGAAGAUUUAAACAGCAUUGGUUUAAGUCAUGUGGAAAAGAAUCGUUUUGCAAUCAUGAAAGACUUCAUUCAAAGACUGAGCACUCCAGAACGUCAAAUCCUAACUGGCAGACCGGUGCAAAAGUCAGUAAAGUCGUUCAGUCUUCAGUACACAUUCCCCAAAUGUCUUAAACCAAAGGUUAUUUCAGAUAUGGAUCCGGCACAAAACACAAUUGAAGACAUAAUGCUGAGAAUCUGUCACCUUGAAAAUAUUGGAAACACCAAAGGAGUUUGUCUCUACACAGUAGAUGGGAUGCCCUUGACAGACGAUCCCUUCUUCAACACAUGGUCUUUGAAAGAAAGACACAUUGAAAAUGGAGCUGUAAUUUAUGCCAUAUUUACUCCGAGGGAAAACUUGACACAGGCUCCAAAAAUGCCAAGACAAGAGUCUGGUAAGACCUCUGGAACAGAUGUCAUUCGAUGUCACAUCAUGCUCAAGGGAAACUUUGAGAUCAUGGUGAAUUUGGAAACUGACACAAUCGCAACUCUAAAAGUGAUCCUGUCAAAUGCAAGUGGAAUACCAGCACAUGUCCUCCAUCCCAGAGGUAAUAAUCUGGGUGGUGAUACACUCCAAAAGUGUGGAAUCUCUGAAGGGUCAACUGUUGCCUUCACUCUUUCCUCUUUUACUGAAGAGACUCCCCUUGAUGAAACUUUCUACAUCAAUGAUGUCGUGCCUUCAGUGCAGCAAAGCCAGAAAGGAAUCAGUGUGUUCCUGUCUUCUCUUUAUGCUGUUGGGAGAGACCAUUCUGAAAUAAUCCGGAACAAACUGAUAGCUUACAUACGAAAAUUGACGGGAUGUAACCCCCUCGCCCAAAGUUUGCAUCAGUUACUCUGCAGGAAUGAAAGGAUGACCAGGAACCAGAAGAUUGCAGUUGUUGAGGGCUUAUACAUGCUCUUCAGGGAGUUAUUGCCCCAGCAAGCAACACAGCGAGGGAAAAAAGUCAUAGAGGACCAGGAUGUCUUUGAGAAUUCAUUGUACUGCUGGGCACAUCUCCUUUCAAAAAUUGAGAAACAAGCAUCAAACCAUGAAGUCUAUGCUCCCAUCUCGCUCGUGUCCAAAGAUGGUGACCAUUUCUGCGAACCUGUCAGAGUACCCGGAGUACCAGAUGUCUUUGAAAGGGCGUACGUCCUUCAGAAAAUCAAAGGUACAAAAUGCACUGAAAGAGUUUAAACUAUAAAGUUUAAAGGUUUUAAUGUGUCUAAAUGAAUACAGUUGUUUUAAUAUUUUAUGUUGU